Molecule: transfer RNA, 82 nt
Filed under: Fukomys damarensis (Damara mole-rat)
Lineage: Eukaryota; Metazoa; Chordata; Mammalia; Rodentia; Bathyergidae
Rfam family: tRNA
About the family: Transfer RNA (tRNA) molecules are approximately 80 nucleotides in length. Their secondary structure includes four short double-helical elements and three loops (D, anti-codon, and T loops).
Source: Rfam by way of RNAcentral
GGUAAUAUGGUUCAGUGGUCUAAGGCACUGGAUUAAGGCUCCAGUCUCUUCCGGUGUGUGGGUUCAAAUCCCACCACUGCCA